UUAAUAUUCAAAUCUAUUUAUUUCAACCAAGAUAAUACAUAUACUUAAAAAAAUAGGGGUUAAUUGAAUACACACAAGUAUUCGAAUACUAAAUACAUUUCGGGUAUUUAAAUAUUUGACCAUCUGUGCCAAUAGUUAGCAGUGAUAUCAUUUUUCAAAAUGUACCUUAAUAGGGCUUGAUUACAAACACAAUAUUAACCUUAUAUUGCUGGAUUAAUUCUGUAGUCAAAUGUCUUACUACCCCUGAUCAGAAAGAGCUUAAUUCUUGGGAACCCAGAAUGGUUGGCUUCAGUAACCAUAGAGGUUCAUGAUUCCAGAAUGUGAAGGUUUACUACUGAUAUCCACAUUACAUCAUGAUGAAAACUAGUCCACCAAGCAGGAUCGGCAACAGGGUGCGCUGUAGACCAAAAGCGUUUGGUGAGGCUGAUGUGAGUCUGUUGGUCGCAGUGGCGUUGGGGUUGGACAGGUCCACAGCUGCAGUGCUUAUAAAGACAGCCUUAGGACUAUCUGGG
Molecule: long non-coding RNA, 512 nt
Organism: Esox lucius (northern pike)
Lineage: Eukaryota; Metazoa; Chordata; Actinopteri; Esociformes; Esocidae
Source: Ensembl